Sander lucioperca (pikeperch) is the source of this 1186-nucleotide long non-coding RNA. RefSeq lists it as uncharacterized. NCBI's taxonomy places the organism in Eukaryota, Metazoa, Chordata, Actinopteri, Perciformes, Percidae. The record is from RefSeq and is a predicted model, not a curated record. The transcript is spliced from 2 exons.
GGUUAUACCUGGCUUGUUUCCUGACCCCUGUCCUGGCUACUGAUGCUGGUUUUACAGUCAAACUAAAUGCUUGAAAUAUCAAAUAUCAGUGGAUGUCCUGGCGUACGCAGCAGGACCAUGAGGCUGUCAUGUCCCUGUAACUCAUUGAAGUAAGGGCGAAUCUUGACCUCAUACUCCGUACUGCUGUACAGAUCUACCAAGACGAUGCUGUGGUCAGACGUGGCCUCCACAUCCUGGACCAACCAGGAGCUGCCGAUAGUCCGGUAAAAUAUACGAUAACCCUGAAUGUACCGGGACUGAAAGGCGACCUGAGAAACGUUGGCAAGACAAGAAGAAGAAGAAACCGAGUUUCACAUUUACAUCAGUAAUAACAAGCAGAACCAGCUGUGUCUGUACUUCAAGUUAAUCUGUUUGUGUCACGUAAUGUUUGGGGGUUUUGAAGUUAAUUCUUGGAGAAUAGCGUGUCCUCCGCACACUGCAAGCCGACAUUGAGUAAGUAGACUUUUUGAUGAGCCAAGUAUUCAACUCACAGUCCAAGAAAUCCUGGCGCUGGUAGGAGACAGAACCACAGGCUUCUGCAGGUAGACAGACACCUCUCCUAACUCCCUCUGCACCUGUCUGUGGUCCACACCUUGUUCUGUAGGACUUCCAUCUGACACAACAAAGAAAUCCAGUCAGUCCAAGCCACAAAAACAGCUGGAUAGCAAUUAUUCAGAAAAAAAAAAAAAAAAAAAAGCUUUUUGAUGAAAUUCAGCAGCGCUCAAGGUAAAACAGAAUCACACUGGGAAAGCAAAUUAGUUUUGAGACUGCACAUGAAAAGCAAGUUUUUUUUAAACCUCAUUAUCUUGGUGCCAGCCUCAGUAUCUCUAAUGUCUUUCUUCAAAACUAUAAACUAAAAUAAAGAUUGUACAGUAGGACUUAUAUUACGCAAGAGUAUAAUCAGAAAAAGAUGAGUUUUUGUUUAUAUAACUCACCCUGUGUCCUGACAGGCUCAGAGAUGGGGCUGGGGUCACUGAGGCCGUAAGAGUUGACUGCUCGGACGAUGAAGAGAUAAACCGUGUUGGGGAAGAGUCCGACCACUGUGUGCCUCUCAUGCUUCACGUGGUCCGCCACUGUUUGCCAGGUGCUGCCCACUGAUUGGCUGAUGGGAAAGAAACAAGACAAUUAAAACAUUUCUUAAAAUCUC